Molecule: long non-coding RNA, 1321 nt
Organism: Arachis duranensis
Lineage: Eukaryota; Viridiplantae; Streptophyta; Magnoliopsida; Fabales; Fabaceae
Exons: 3
Source: RefSeq, a predicted model, not a curated record
UUCCCUUCACCCUAGCAGCCGCAGCCUCACCUCCCUCAACACAUAGUUUUUCCCCUUAACCCUACCCUGUCUUCCCUUUCACCUUCAGCAAGUUCACCGAACUUGAAGCCUAUAGCAGUACCCACGAUUUCCUUUUCUUGUUCCAUGGAGGAAGGAAACAGAAUCAAGAAAGGGGGAUCGAGCCAGAAGAAGGGAAGGAGAGGGAAAGGGCUUGGCGCCGCCGUUCAGUUCGCCACCAAGACCGCGCCGGCGUGCUGGACCUCACCGCCGCCGUCGCGCCAUCGUCGAACUAUGGAGGGAAAGGGAGUGUCGCGAGUCACCGUCCCUGAGCUGCAGCACCAUGGAGCCAUCCUGGUCGUGCCGCCUCUGCUGUUCGUGCUACCGUCGUCGACCAAGCUCGUCGCCGUCUCUGCCCAGCGCCGCCGCAGAUGAUGGGUCGCCGAGAAAUGCCACCGUUGCUACUAUCAUCUUCGCGGUUUGAGUUGUUGCAGUUGCUCCUCGCGGUGAAGCCCGUCAUGAGCGCCGCUGUCAGCCUCAUGCUUCUGGGUGCCGUUGGUAGGGUCGCGCCGGCCAGAUCUGCUGCAAGAGAAUGGGAAUGGAAGCGUUCCUCAGAUGGCAACCGGAGCUCGGCAGGGGCUGUGCGCCGUCACUGAAAUCGCACGCACAGAGAGAUGAGACGUGAGAGGGAGGCUGUGCGUUCCGUCGCGCGCGUCACCACCCAAGGACCGUCGCUGCUGCCGCUGGGAACCGCUACUGGAGCCUGUGUCAUUUGGAUUUCAUCGCGAGUUACCUCCACCAGAAACCACCGCUGUGAUUCUGAUCACCGGGGACGACUCUGUGACUUUCGGGAUCACCGCUGAAGCUCCAGGCAGAGUUUCUGCCGCUUGAGACCUUGCUGCUGUCGCCGGAAAAUUUUGCCGUUGAUCCACCGGAGCUUCUGGCCGCCGCCGGAGCUGUGCCGGGGCCGGUUCGAAUCCGCAGCUGCUUCGUGUUGUUAUUCCGAGUUGUUUAUGCUGCUGCGAAAAUGUGUGGGGCUGUGCUUUGAAGCUGCCUUUGAUUUUGAGUUGAGGCGAAAAAGGACUCUGUGACGUGUUUGAGUUAUGGAAAUUGCGUUUUGAGGAUAUGGGCGCAGAAGUUACGAAGAAUUUAUUUAGUUAUUGUUGUGAUGUUCUGUAUUGCUUUGGACUAUUAAUUAUUGUACCCUCGCCUUUAUCUUGAUAUAUUCUAUAAGAGGGAUAGGGAUUGUAUUGGUUAAUGUCUGUAAUAUUAUUUAUAUAUAUGUAUGUAUAUAUAUGGAUGUACUCUUUAUGAGUUUUUGUAA